RNAcentral lists this ribosomal RNA (448 nucleotides) under uncultured bacterium. RNAcentral describes it as "SSU rRNA". It matches the Rfam family "Bacterial small subunit ribosomal RNA", at positions 26 to 518 of the family's 1533-position model. The record is from RNAcentral.
AGAACGAACGCUGGCGGCAGGCCUCAAACAUGCAAGUCUAGGGGGUGUAGCAAUACAUCACCGGCGGACGGGUGCGUAACGCGUGGGAAUGUACCUAUUGGUUCGGAACAACUGAGGGAAACUUCAGCUAAUACCGGAUGAGCCCGAAAGGGGAAAGAUUUCUCGCCAAUAGAUCAGCCCGCGUCCGAUUAGCUAGUUGGUGGGGUUAAAGCCUACCAAGGCGACGAUCGGUAGCUGUUCUGAGAGGAAGAUCAGCCACACUGGGACUGAGACACGGCCCAGACUCCUACGGGAGGCAGCAGUUGGGAAUCUUGGACAAUGGGGGAAACCCUGAUCCAGCCAUGCCGCGUGAGUGAUGAAGGCCUUCGGGUUGUAAAACUCUUUCGACGGGGACGAUAAUGACGGUACCCGUAGAAGAAGCUCCGGCUAACUUCGUGACAGCAGCCGC